ACGGGGGCAGCAGGCGCGAAAACUCCGCAAUACACGAAAGUGUGACGGGGGAACCCCGAGUGCACUCACGCAAGUGAGCGCUUUUGUGAAGUGUAAAUAGCUUUACGAAUAAGAGCUGGGUAAGACCGGUGCCAGCCGCCGCGGUAACACCGGCAGCUCGAGUGGUGAUCACUAUUAUUGGGCCUAAAGCGUCCGUAGCCGGUUUGGUAAGUCCUUGGGCAAAUCCUGUCGCUUAACGGCAGGAAUUCUGAGGAUACUGUCAGACUUGAGGCCGAGAGAGGUCGGAGGUACUUCUGGGGUAGCGGUGAAAUGCUAUAAUCCUAGAGGGACCACCGGUGGCGAAGGCGUCCGACUAGAGCGGGCCUGACGGUAAGGGACGAAAGCCAGGGGAGCGAACGGGAUUAGAUACCCCGGUAGUCCUGGCCGUAAACGCUGUGGGCUAGGUGUUGCAUGCUCUACGAGGGCGUGCAGUGCCGAAGAGAAGUUGAUAAGCCUACCGCCUGGGAAGUAUUAUCGCAAGAUAGAAACUUAAAGGAAUUGGCGGGGGAGCACCACAAGGGGUGAAGUCUGCGGUUCAAUUGGAUUCAACGCCGGAAAUCUCACUGGAAGCGACGGCAGAAUGACAGCCAAGCUGAUGACUUUGCUUGACGAGCUGAGAGGAGGUGCAUGGCCGUCGUCAGCUCGUACCGUAAGGCGUCCUGUUAAGUCAGGCAACGAGCGAGACCCGUGCCCUUAUUUGUCAGCUAGUCCCUGCGGG
Molecule: ribosomal RNA, 757 nt
Filed under: uncultured archaeon
Lineage: Archaea
Description: bacterial SSU rRNA
Rfam family: Archaeal small subunit ribosomal RNA
Source: RNAcentral